GACAGAGGUGCCAAGCGUUAGGCGGAAUCACUGGGCUUAAAGCGUGUGUAGGCGGACUCGUAAGUACCUUGUGAAAUCCCACGGCUCAACCGUGGAACUGCUUGGUAUACUGCGUUUCUUGGGCCAAUUAGGGGCAGCCGGAACAAAUGGUGGAGCGGUGAAAUGCGUAGAGAUCCGGAAGAACACCAGUGGCGAAGGCGGCUCUCUAGGACGGUACUGACGCUGAGACGCGAAAGCGUGGGGAGCGAACAGG
Molecule: ribosomal RNA, 253 nt
Filed under: uncultured bacterium
Lineage: Bacteria
Description: partial 16S ribosomal RNA
Rfam family: Bacterial small subunit ribosomal RNA
Source: RNAcentral